CCAUGUAUGUGCAUAUAUAUAUAUAUAUGUUGAUUGUCUCAUCAUCGUGUGUAUACAUAUAUAAAAUAUGUAAUGUGUGUACCCCACUGAUGGAUUUCUUUGUUUUUGAUACUAGGAAUAUUUAAUUUUGGAGAAGGCAGAGCAUGAUGCUAGAACCCUCACGAAGCUUUUAGAGACGUGGUAGUUGGUGGCGGAGUGAGUAGGACAUGGGUGUACUUGUGCUAUUUGCUGCCUAGUGCUUGUGUGAUAGACUGCACCAGGGGUUUGUUGUGUAGUGCCUUUUGCUCACAGUUUUCCCUCGGUGGUGCGCUGCCGUGUGGUGCUGUGCAAGAGACUGCAGCGGGGCCUCGUUGUGUAAUGCCUUUUGGUCAGUCUUUUUCUUUGAUGGUGACGUCGCCGUGCAGUGCAAGAAACUGCUUGCAUAAUCGCUGCGAGGUUGCGUAUCAUUUUGGUUUUCUUUGCCAGUGUAACGUGCCUUGAAUGACCAUUCUGUAGCUGCCCUAUUUGCCGUGCUGCUCAAGUUUUGUGGUUGAUUUUUUUUUUUUUACGGUCAUGGUAUUUUUCAAGUGUUUUAAGAGCAACACCAUCACCAUUCUUGUGAAGGAAGGCGAUUUGCAAGAUAAGGGAACAACGUUGAAGCUUUAUGGGCCACUAACUGGU
This 660-nucleotide long non-coding RNA is filed under the name Malus domestica (apple). RNAcentral describes it as "long non-coding RNA (MDOM_LNC015274)". The record is from RNAcentral. Lineage: Eukaryota; Viridiplantae; Streptophyta; Magnoliopsida; Rosales; Rosaceae.